RNAcentral lists this ribosomal RNA (377 nucleotides) under uncultured bacterium. Its description in RNAcentral is "partial 16S ribosomal RNA". It matches the Rfam family "Bacterial small subunit ribosomal RNA", at positions 355 to 724 of the family's 1533-position model. The record is from RNAcentral.
UGGGGAAUAUUGCACAAUGGGCGCAAGCCUGAUGCAGCCAUGCCGCGUGUAUGAAGAAGGCCUUCGGGUUGUAAAGUACUUUCAGCGAGGAGGAAGGUGUUGUGGUUAAUAACCGCAGCAAUUGACGUUACUCGCAGAAGAAGCACCGGCUAACUCCGUGCCAGCAGCCGCGGUAAUACGGAGGGUGCAAGCGUUAAUCGGAAUUACUGGGCGUAAAGCGCACGCAGGCGGUCUGUCAAGUCGGAUGUGAAAUCCCCGGGCUCAACCUGGGAACUGCAUCCGAAACUGGCAGGCUAGAGUCUUGUAGAGGGGGGUAGAAUUCCAGGUGUAGCGGUGAAAUGCGUAGAGAUCUGGAGGAAUACCGGUGGCGAAGGCGG